RNAcentral lists this transfer RNA (75 nucleotides) under Clostridiales bacterium. RNAcentral describes it as "tRNA-Ile". It matches the Rfam family "tRNA". From Rfam's summary of the family: Transfer RNA (tRNA) molecules are approximately 80 nucleotides in length. Their secondary structure includes four short double-helical elements and three loops (D, anti-codon, and T loops). Further hydrogen bonds mediate the characteristic L-shaped molecular structure. tRNAs have two regions of fundamental functional importance: the anti-codon, which is responsible for specific mRNA codon recognition, and the 3' end, to which the tRNAs corresponding amino acid is attached (by aminoacyl-tRNA synthetases). tRNAs cope with the degeneracy of the genetic code in two manners: having more than one tRNA (with a specific anti-codon) for a particular amino acid; and 'wobble' base-pairing, i.e. permitting non-standard base-pairing at the 3rd anti-codon position. The record is from RNAcentral. Lineage: Bacteria; Bacillati; Bacillota; Clostridia; Eubacteriales.
UGGCAGGUAGCUCAAUGGAAGAGUUUUUGUCUGAUAUACAAAAGGUUACAAGUUCGAGUCUUGUCCUGCCAACUA